This 45-nucleotide non-coding RNA is filed under the name Schistosoma margrebowiei. The record is from RNAcentral. Lineage: Eukaryota; Metazoa; Platyhelminthes; Trematoda; Strigeidida; Schistosomatidae.
AUCCGGCUGACGAGUCCGAAAUAGGACGAAACGUGCGUCCCGGAU